Molecule: ribosomal RNA, 447 nt
Filed under: uncultured bacterium
Lineage: Bacteria
Description: bacterial SSU rRNA
Rfam family: Bacterial small subunit ribosomal RNA
Source: RNAcentral
AACGAACGCUGGCGGCAUGCCUAACACAUGCAAGUCGAACGAAGCCUUCGGGCUUAGUGGCGCACGGGUGCGUAACACGUGGGAAUCUGCCCUUCGGUUCGGAAUAACAGUUAGAAAUGACUGCUAAUACCGGAUGAUGACGAAAGUCCAAAGAUUUAUCGCCGAAGGAUGAGCCCGCGUAGGAUUAGGUAGUUGGUAGGGUAAUGGCCUACCAAGCCGACGAUCCUUAGCUGGUCUGAGAGGAUGAUCAGCCACACUGGGACUGAGACACGGCCCAGACUCCUACGGGAGGCAGCAGUGGGGAAUAUUGGACAAUGGGCGAAAGCCUGAUCCAGCAAUGCCGCGUGAGUGAUGAAGGCCUUAGGGUUGUAAAGCUCUUUUACCAGGGAUGAUAAUGACAGUACCUGGAGAAUAAGCUCCGGCUAACUCCGUGCCAGCAGCCGCGGU